AUCAGAAGUGCGAAUGCUGACAUAAGUAACGAUAAAGCGGGUGAAAAGCCCGCUCGCCGGAAGACCAAGGGUUCCUGUCCAACGUUAAUCGGGGCAGGGUGAGUCGACCCCUAAGGCGAGGCCGAAAGGCGUAGUCGAUGGGAAACGGGUUAAUAUUCCCGUACUUGGUGUUACUGCGAAGGGGGGACGGAGAAGGCUAUGUUGGCCGGGCGACGGUUGUCCCGGUUUAAGCGUGUAGGUGUGUGUUCCAGGUAAAUCCGGUUCACUUUAACACUGAGGCGUGAUGACGAGGCACUACGGUGCUGAAGCAACAAAUGCCCUGCUUCCAGGAAAAGCCUCUAAGCAUCAGGUAACAUCAAAUCGUACCCCAAACCGACACAGGUGGUCAGGUAGAGAAUACCAAGGCGCUUGAGAGAACUCGGGUGAAGGAACUAGGCAAAAUGGUGCCGUAACUUCGGGAGAAGGCACGCUGACACGUAGGUGAAGUGAUUUACUCACGGAGCUGAAGUCAGUCGAAGAUACCAGCUGGCUGCAACUGUUUAUUAAAAACACAGCACUGUGCAAACACGAAAGUGGACGUAUACGGUGUGACGCCUGCCCGGUGCCGGAAGGUUAAUUGAUGGGGUCAGCGCAAGCGAAGCUCCUGAUCGAAGCCCCGGUAAACGGCGGCCGUAACUAUAACGGUCCUAAGGUAGCGAAAUUCCUUGUCGGGUAAGUUCCGACCUGCACGAAUGGCGUAAUGAUGGCCAGGCUGUCUCCACCCGAGACUCAGUGAAAUUGAACUCGCUGUGAAGAUGCAGUGUACCCGCGGCAAGACGGAAAGACCCCGUGAACCUUUACUAUAGCUUGACACUGAACAUUGAGCCUUGAUGUGUAGGAUAGGUGGGAGGCUUUGAAGUGUGGACGCCAGUCUGCAUGGAGCCGACCUUGAAAUACCACCCUUUAAUGUUUGAUGUUCUAACGUGGACCCGUGAUCCGGGUUGCGGACAGUGUCUGGUGGGUAGUUUGACUGGGGCGGUCUCCUCCUAAAGAGUAACGGAGGAGCACGAAGGUUGGCUAAUCCUGGUCGGACAUCAGGAGGUUAGUGCAAUGGCAUAAGCCAGCUUGACUGCGAGCGUGACGGCGCGAGCAGGUGCGAAAGCAGGUCAUAGUGAUCCGGUGGUUCUGAAUGGAAGGGCCAUCGCUCAACGGAUAAAAGGUACUCCGGGGAUAACAGGCUGAUACCGCCCAAGAGUUCAUAUCGACGGCGGUGUUUGGCACCUCGAUGUCGGCUCAUCACAUCCUGGGGCUGAAGUAGGUCCCAAGGGUAUGGCUGUUCGCCAUUUAAAGUGGUACGCGAGCUGGGUUUAGAACGUCGUGAGACAGUUCGGUCCCUAUCUGCCGUGGGCGCUGGAGAACUGAGGGGGGCUGCUCCUAGUACGAGAGGACCGGAGUGGACGCAUCACUGGUGUUCGGGUUGUCAUGCCAAUGGCACUGCCCGGUAGCUAAAUGCGGAAGAGAUAAGUGCUGAAAGCAUCUAAGCACGAAACUUGCCCCGAG
This 1539-nucleotide ribosomal RNA is filed under the name Salmonella enterica. RNAcentral's name for it is "partial 23S ribosomal RNA". It matches the Rfam family "Bacterial large subunit ribosomal RNA", at positions 1281 to 2803 of the family's 2925-position model. Lineage: Bacteria; Pseudomonadati; Pseudomonadota; Gammaproteobacteria; Enterobacterales; Enterobacteriaceae. The record is from RNAcentral.